RNAcentral lists this transfer RNA (72 nucleotides) under Selaginella moellendorffii. It matches the Rfam family "tRNA". Rfam says of the family: Transfer RNA (tRNA) molecules are approximately 80 nucleotides in length. Their secondary structure includes four short double-helical elements and three loops (D, anti-codon, and T loops). Further hydrogen bonds mediate the characteristic L-shaped molecular structure. tRNAs have two regions of fundamental functional importance: the anti-codon, which is responsible for specific mRNA codon recognition, and the 3' end, to which the tRNAs corresponding amino acid is attached (by aminoacyl-tRNA synthetases). tRNAs cope with the degeneracy of the genetic code in two manners: having more than one tRNA (with a specific anti-codon) for a particular amino acid; and 'wobble' base-pairing, i.e. permitting non-standard base-pairing at the 3rd anti-codon position. The record is from Rfam by way of RNAcentral. Lineage: Eukaryota; Viridiplantae; Streptophyta; Lycopodiopsida; Selaginellales; Selaginellaceae.
GCAUAAGUAGUCCAACGGUUAAGAUAUUUGCCUUCCAAGCAAUAGAUCCGGGUUCGACUCCCGGCUGAUGCA